RNAcentral lists this ribosomal RNA (465 nucleotides) under uncultured bacterium. RNAcentral's name for it is "bacterial SSU rRNA". It matches the Rfam family "Bacterial small subunit ribosomal RNA", at positions 338 to 795 of the family's 1533-position model. The record is from RNAcentral.
CCUACGGGUGGCAGCAGUAGGGAAUCUUCCACAAUGGACGCAAGUCUGAUGGAGCAACGCCGCGUGAGUGAAGAAGGUCUUCGGAUCGUAAAACUCUGUUGUUAGAGAAGAACACGAGUGAGAGUAACUGUUCAUUCGAUGACGGUAUCUAACCAGCAAGUCACGGCUAACUACGUGCCAGCAGCCGCGGUAAUACGUAGGUGGCAAGCGUUGUCCGGAUUUAUUGGGCGUAAAGGGAACGCAGGCGGUCUUUUAAGUCUGAUGUGAAAGCCUUCGGCUUAACCGGAGUAGUGCAUUGGAAACUGGAAGACUUGAGUGCAGAAGAGGAGAGUGGAACUCCAUGUGUAGCGGUGAAAUGCGUAGAUAUAUGGAAGAACACCAGUGGCGAAAGCGGCUCUCUGGUCUGUAACUGACGCUGAGGUUCGAAAGCGUGGGUAGCAAACAGGAUUAGAUACCCGGGUAGUC